Molecule: long non-coding RNA, 201 nt
Organism: Drosophila arizonae
Lineage: Eukaryota; Metazoa; Arthropoda; Insecta; Diptera; Drosophilidae
Source: RefSeq, a predicted model, not a curated record
UUGAGCCACCGGCCCACGUGUUCAAUUACGAUUCAAUGCGGCUUUAUUGUUGCAAGUAAGACAGAACUUGUGAAAACUUUCUGCUUAAAUUACAUGUAUACAUUUAUGUUUGUGUGUGUGUGCUAGUUUGUGUGUAUGUGAGCAGCCUCUCCAUUUGAUGCAAGUGCGACGCAGUUUGAUUUCCACUUCGUAUUCUCUCUU